UUAACUUUAUUUAUAAUAUUACUCAGACAACACAAAAAUCAAGAGUUUGGGGUCCUCUGGCAGGCACGGACCAGCCUAAGCCAGUGGUCAUAAGACGGGCCUGCCAAAGCAACAAAGGUAAUAUAAACAAAGGGUGGGAGAUCUACCCCAAAGGGCAAUUUCUCUGUAAUGAUCCUUCCGCAGGUUCACCUACGGAAA
RNAcentral lists this unclassified non-coding RNA (198 nucleotides) under uncultured fungus. Its description in RNAcentral is "sequence contains ITS1, 5.8S rRNA gene". The record is from RNAcentral. Lineage: Eukaryota; Fungi.